Molecule: ribosomal RNA, 253 nt
Filed under: uncultured bacterium
Lineage: Bacteria
Description: partial 16S ribosomal RNA
Rfam family: Bacterial small subunit ribosomal RNA
Source: RNAcentral
UACGUAGGGCGCAAGCGUUGUCCGGAAUUAUUGGGCGUAAAGAGCUCGUAGGCGGUUUGUCGCGUCUGUCGUGAGAGCUUGGGGCUUAACCCCAAGUCUGCGGUGGAUACGGGCAGACUAGAGGCAGGUAGGGGAGAACGGAAUUCCCGGUGUAGCGGUGAAAUGCGCAGAUAUCGGGAGGAACACCGGUGGCGAAGGCGGUUCUCUGGGCCUGUACUGACGCUGAGGAGCGAAAGCGUGGGGAGCGAACAGG